This 1015-nucleotide ribosomal RNA is filed under the name uncultured bacterium. Its description in RNAcentral is "bacterial SSU rRNA". It matches the Rfam family "Bacterial small subunit ribosomal RNA", at positions 357 to 1375 of the family's 1533-position model. The record is from RNAcentral.
AGGAAUAUUGGUCAAUGGGCGAGAGCCUGAACCAGCCAAGUAGCGUGAAGGAUGACUGCCCUAUGGGUUGUAAACUUCUUUUAUAAAGGAAUAAAGUCGGGUAUGCAUACCCGUUUGCAUGUACUUUAUGAAUAAGGAUCGGCUAACUCCGUGCCAGCAGCCGCGGUAAUACGGAGGAUCCGAGCGUUAUCCGGAUUUAUUGGGUUUAAAGGGAGCGUAGAUGGAUGUUUAAGUCAGUUGUGAAAGUUUGCGGCUCAACCGUAAAAUUGCAGUUGAUACUGGAUAUCUUGAGUGCAGUUGAGGCAGGCGGAAUUCGUGGUGUAGCGGUGAAAUGCUUAGAUAUCACGAAGAACUCCGAUUGCGAAGGCAGCCUGCUAAGCUGCAACUGACAUUGAGGCUCGAAAGUGUGGGUAUCAAACAGGAUUAGAUACCCUGGUAGUCCACACGGUAAACGAUGAAUACUCGCUGUUUGCGAUAUACGGCAAGCGGCCAAGCGAAAGCGUUAAGUAUUCCACCCGGGGAGUACGCCGGCAACGGUGAAACUCGAAGGAAUUGACGGGGGCCCGCACAAGCGGAGGAACAUGUGGUUUAAUUCGAUGAUACGCGAGGAACCUUACCCGGGCUUAAAUUGCAGAUGAAUUACGGUGAAAGCCGUAAGCCGCAAGGCAUCUGUGAAGGUGCUGCAUGGUUGUCGUCAGCUCGUGCCGUGAGGUGUCGGCUUAAGUGCCAUAACGAGCGCAACCCUUGUUGUCAGUUACUAACAGGUUCCGCUGAGGACUCUGACAAGACUGCCAUCGUAAGAUGUGAGGAAGGUGGGGAUGACGUCAAAUCAGCACGGCCCUUACGUCCGGGGCUACACACGUGUUACAAUGGGGGGUACAGAGGGCCGAUACCACGCGAGUGGAUGCCAAUCCCAAAAACCUCUCUCAGUUCGGACUGGAGUCUGCAACCCGACUCCACGAAGCUGGAUUCGCUAGUAAUCGCGCAUCAGCCACGGCGCGGUGAAUACGUUCCC